ACCGGGGCGGCCGGCUGGGUGGCCCGGCUCGGCGUGCCGGCGGCGGCGAUCCUGAUGUCGGGCGGGUUCUUCGCGUCCUCGGCG
This 84-nucleotide transfer RNA is filed under the name Longispora fulva. RNAcentral's name for it is "tRNA-Ala". The record is from RNAcentral. Lineage: Bacteria; Bacillati; Actinomycetota; Actinomycetes; Micromonosporales; Micromonosporaceae.